Molecule: ribosomal RNA, 583 nt
Filed under: Exophiala equina
Lineage: Eukaryota; Fungi; Ascomycota; Eurotiomycetes; Chaetothyriales; Herpotrichiellaceae
Description: eukaryotic LSU rRNA
Rfam family: 5.8S ribosomal RNA (bases 202-356)
Source: RNAcentral
AUCAUUAACGAGUAGAGGUCUCUCUUGGCCCGACCUCCCAACCCUUUGUCUACUUGACCAUCGUUGCUUCGGCGAGCCCGUCCUCACGGACCGCCGGAGGGACCUUCACAGGCCCUCUGGUCCGCGCUCGUCGGUAGCCCAACCAUUAAAAUCUUUAACUAAACGUGCCUUAAUCUAAGUACAAUUAUUAAAUAAAAGCAAAACUUUCAACAACGGAUCUCUUGGUUCUGGCAUCGAUGAAGAACGCAGCGAAAUGCGAUAAGUAAUGCGAAUUGCAGAAUUCCAGUGAGUCAUCGAAUCUUUGAACGCACAUUGCGCCCUUUGGUAUUCCGAAGGGCAUGCCUGUUCGAGCGUCAUUAUCACCCCUCAAGCCCCUGGCUUGGUGUUGGACGGUUUGGUGGAGGCCCCCUCGGGGGCUCCUGCCCCUCCCAAAGACAAUGACGGCGGCCUCGUGGACCCCCGGUACACUGAGUUCUUCACGGGACACGUAUCGGAUACAUGGGUUUACGGGACACGGUCUGCCUCCCCUCAGGGAGAAUCUUUCUAAGGUUGACCUCGGAUCAGGUAGGGAUACCCGCUGAAC